CGUGUCUCUAUGUCGUAGUUCACUUGAAGAUAUGUCCAGUACUGUCGUGGACUUUUUACUCGACAUCAGGCGCCUCAAUGUUGCGCUGUCGCGUGCUCAAGUAUGUGUGAUUGUUGUGAUGUCUCCCGAUAUCGCCAUGGCGAG
This 144-nucleotide non-coding RNA is filed under the name Pteridomonas danica. The record is from RNAcentral. Lineage: Eukaryota; Dictyochophyceae; Pedinellales.